This 473-nucleotide ribosomal RNA is filed under the name uncultured bacterium. RNAcentral's name for it is "partial 16S ribosomal RNA". It matches the Rfam family "Bacterial small subunit ribosomal RNA", at positions 28 to 507 of the family's 1533-position model. The record is from RNAcentral.
GGUGAACGCUGGUGGCGUGCCUAAGACAUGCAAGUCGAGCGGGCCGCGGGGUUUUACUCCGUGGUCAGCGGCGGACGGGUGAGUAACGCGUGGGUGACCUACCCGGAAGAGGGGGACAACCCGGGGAAACUCGGGCUAAUCCCCCAUGUGGACCCGCCCCUUGGGGUGUGUCCAAAGGGCUUUGCCCGCUUCCGGAUGGGCCCGCGUCCCAUCAGCUAGUUGGUGGGGUAAUGGCCCACCAAGGCGACGACGGGUAGCCGGCCUGAGAGGGUGGCCGGCCGAGGGGGCACGGAGACACGGGCCCCACGCCGGCGGGGGGGAGGAGUUAGGAAUCGUCGGAAAUGGGCGUAAGCCUGGCGGAGCGACGCCGCCGGGAGGAAGAAGCCGGUCGGGGUGUAAACGGCUGAGCGCGGGACGAACCCCCCGACGAGGGGACUGACGGUACGGGGGUAAUAGCGACGGCCAACUCCGUG